GCGUGUGUGUGUGUGUUAAGGAUAGUGAGUUUUUUUUCUUAAUAUUUUUUUACAUUUAUUAGUAUUUUUUAUGCAAUCUUCCUUCUUUUUUUAUAUAUUUACUCUUUUCCCUCAAGCUGCUUCCUUUAGGCCUACUGAGUGGUAGAUUUCAGGCUUCUUGUACCUCACACAAUUUAUGCAUUUCCUCUCAGCCAUGGCGCACUCCUGUGAUUUAUGAUACCCAGCGCAUUUGAAGCAUUUUUUGGCUUCUGUUGCUCUUAGCAGUACAGUUGGUCUCAAGAUGGCCAUAUCUCUGACAAUGAUAGCAUAUAAUUCCAUGGUGUCUGUCUCUCGCUGUGUAUAUUCCUCAUUCUAAUUUUAACUUGUCAUGGUUCCUGUAAAUCAUCUCUCACCGUUGGGUCACACCUCAAAAUGUAGUGCAUUGUGCCGCCAGCUGCAGGCUUACUAAAAAUCCGCUCAAUCUUAUUCUCCGCUCCCUGAAUUGUGUGUGAGAACUCAUUGCGGUCCAAGAUGGUCUCCUUCAUUUUUUCCUUGGUCUCCUCUCCUCUUCGAACCAAGCAGAAACACUUCACAUCGGAUCAAGUUCAUCGACCAGCGACCUUUUGUGGGGCCGGCAGUUCAUGCUGCUGUUUAGGGUUAUCACAACAGCACCAUGAACUGUCGGCCAAAUGAGGGUGUCGCUAUGCUGCCCUGCCAUGCCCUCGGUGACGUCAGACUGCCCACCACGGACUGCAAGGGUUGUAUUCUUAAACAUAUAUUUGACAAGGCUUUUGUAGGAGUGUGGGGGGCAUUUCCAGGGGUAGUUUUAUGACCCUGGUAGUGGUAGUUUGACCCUUCAUCUGUACCGUGAACCUAGGAAACACUCAUUUGACAAGGCUUUCAUAGGAGGAGUUUGGGGUAGUUUGACCCUUUUUCUGUACCAUGAACCUAAGAAACACACAUUUGGCAAGGCUUUCAUAGGAGUUGUGGGGAGCAUUUUCAAGGGUAGUUUUAUGACCCUGGUGGUAUUCUCCAAACCAAGCAGCACUUCACACCAGGUCAAAUUCUCACGACAUCAGGUCAAGUCCGUCCAAGCAGCGACCUUUUGUGGGGCCGGCAGUUCAUGCUGCUGUUUAGGGUUAUCACAACAGCAGCAUGAACUGACGGCCAAAUGAGGGUGUCGCUAUGCUGCCCUGCCAUGCCCUCGGUGACGUCAGCCUGCCCACCACGGACUGCAAGAGUUGUGAUCUUAAACAUAUAUUUGACAGGGCUUUCGUAGGAGUGUGGGGGGCAUUUUCAAGGGUAGUUUUAUGACCCUGGUAGUGGUAGUGUGACCCUUCCUCUGUACCAUGAACCUAAGAAACAUAUUUGGCAAGGCUUUCAUAGGAGUUGUAGGGAGCAUUUCCAGGGGUAGUUUUAUGACCCUGGUGGUGGUAGUGUGACCCUUCCUCUGUACCGUGAUCCUAAGAAACAUAUUUGGCAAGGCUUUCAUAGGAGUUGUAGGGAGCAUUUCCAGGUAUAGUUUUAUGACCCUGGUGGUGGUAGUGUGACCCUUCCUCUGUAUCAUGAACCUAAGAAACAUAUUUGGCAAGGCUUUCAUAGGAGUUUAGGGCAUUUCCAGGGGUAGUUUUAUGACCCUGGUGAUGGUGUGACCCUUCCUCUGUACCAUGGACCUAAGAAACAUAUAUCUGACAAGGCUUUCAUAGGAGUUUAGGGCAAUUUCAGGGGUAGUUUUAUGACCCUAGUGAUGGUGUGACCCUUCCUCUGUACCAUGAACCUUACAAACACACAUUUGAUAAGGCUUUCAUAGGAGUUUAGGGCAUUUCCAGGGGUAGUUUUAUGACCCUGGUGGUGGUAGUGUGACCCUUCCUCUGUACCGUGAUCCUAAGAAACAUAUUUGACAAGGCUUUCAUAGGAGUUUAGGGCAUUUCCAUGGGUAGUUUUAUGAGCCUGGUGGUAGUGUGACCCUUCCUCUGUACCGUGAUCCUAAGAAACAUAUUUGGCAAGGCUUUCAUAGGAGUUGUAGGGAGCAUUUCCAGGUAUAGUUUUAUGACCCUGGUGGUGGUAGUGUGACCCUUCCUCUGUACCGUGAUCCUAAGAAACAUAUUUGACAAGGCUUUCAUAGGAGUUUAGGGCAUUUCCAGGGGUAGUUUUAUGACCCUGGUGGUAUUCUCCAAACCAAGCAGCACUUCACACCAGGUCAAAUCUUCACGACAUCAGGUCAAGUCCGUCCGAGCAGCGACCUUUUGUGGGGCCGGCAGUUCAUGCUGCUGUUUAGGGUUAUCACAACAGCAGCAUGAACUGACGGCCAAAUGAGGGUGUCGCUAUGCUGCCCUGCC
Molecule: long non-coding RNA, 2318 nt
Organism: Eriocheir sinensis (Chinese mitten crab)
Lineage: Eukaryota; Metazoa; Arthropoda; Malacostraca; Decapoda; Varunidae
Exons: 3
Source: RefSeq, a predicted model, not a curated record